This 715-nucleotide ribosomal RNA is filed under the name uncultured fungus. RNAcentral's name for it is "SSU rRNA". It matches the Rfam family "Eukaryotic small subunit ribosomal RNA", at positions 384 to 1100 of the family's 1831-position model. Lineage: Eukaryota; Fungi. The record is from RNAcentral.
CGGAGAGGGAGCCUGAGAAACGGCUACCACAUCCAAGGAUGGCAGCAGGCGCGCAAAUUACCCAAUCCCGACACGGGGAGGUAGUGACAAUAAAUAACAAUACGGGGUUCUUUAGGAUCUCGUAAUUGGAAUGAGUACAAUUUAAAUCUCUUAACGAGGAACAAUUGGAGGGCAAGUCUGGUGCCAGCAGCCGCGGUAAUUCCAGCUCCAAUAGCGUAUAUUAAAGUUGUUGCAGUUAAAAAGCUCGUAGUUGAAUUUCGGGGUUAGUAGGUUGGUCAUGCCUCUGGUAUGUACUGGUCUCACUGAUUCCUCCUUCCUUAUGAACCGUAAUGCCAUUAAUUUGGUGUUGCGGGGAAUUUGGACUGUUACUUUGAAAAAAUUAGAGUGUUUAAAGCAAGCUAACGCUUGAAUACAUUAGCAUGGAAUAAUGAAAUAGGACGUUCGAUCUUAUUUUGUUGGUUUCUAGGAUUGACGUAAUGAUUAAUAGGGAUAGUUGGGGGCAUUAGUAUUCAAUUGUCAGAGGUGAAAUUCUUGGAUUUAUUGAAGACUAACUACUGCGAAAGCAUUUGCCAAGGAUGUUUUCAUUAAUCAAGAACGAAAGUUAGGGGAUCGAAGACGAUCAGAUACCGUCGUAGUCUUAACCAUAAACUAUGCCGACUAGGGAUCGGAUGAUGUUAAUUUUUUAAUGACUCAUUCGGCGCCUUACGGGAAACCA